CUUCCUUGGUAGGAAUUGAACCUACAGCUAAUCGGUUAACAGCCGAUUGCUCUACCAUUGAGCUACAAAGAA
Molecule: transfer RNA, 72 nt
Filed under: Lepidodinium chlorophorum
Lineage: Eukaryota; Dinophyceae; Gymnodiniales; Gymnodiniaceae
Description: tRNA-Asn
Source: RNAcentral